This is a long non-coding RNA of Ictidomys tridecemlineatus (thirteen-lined ground squirrel), 875 nucleotides long. RefSeq lists it as uncharacterized. The record is from RefSeq and is a predicted model, not a curated record. NCBI's taxonomy places the organism in Eukaryota, Metazoa, Chordata, Mammalia, Rodentia, Sciuridae.
AGGUCCCAGCCUCCCGCGCAGGCGCAGUCCGUAGGUGCUUCGCAGUCCCGGAAGCGGAACGGCUGCCCAGGGCCCGCGCAGGCGCAGUACACAGAAGCCGUGGAGAAGGAGGCCCCGCCCAGGGCCCGAGGCUCCGAGCCCACGUGCUUGGCAGCUUGGCCCCACGGGUUACGCUCGAGCCAGUCUUCUGGGACUGCAGAAGCCACGUGCCCCGGACUGGGGACCUACGCGGACAUUUUCUCAGUCUCAGUGCUGUUGGCUGGUCCUUCUCAUGACCUCACUGAACCUCGUUACCUCCUUAAGACCUCAGUUCACCUUGGCUUCAACGUAUGAUUGUGGGGGCAUAGUGGCCCAGAAAAAAAAUCCCAAGAGAAAUGAAAACGUACAUCCAAAGCAGCCUUGUCUGAGGAUGUUCAUGGGAAUUUUAGUUAUAAUAGCAAAAGGCUGAUAAUAUUUGUGUGUCAGUCAACAGGAACAUGGGCACAGGUUGUCGCUUAUCCACACACAGACUGAAGCAGGCCAGAGACCCCCACCCAGAAGACCCUUACCAUAAUUAAGCAGAAACCCUCACCAUAUUUGUGGUAUAUAAGUUGCUCUUCUUAUCAGAGAGCUUUUUGCAUAGGACAUCAGCUAUCAGCAACAAUCUGCAGAAGGCACUGUGUUUUGUAGCUUCGUCUUUAUUUAUAAAUGCCAGGUUUGCAGGAAAAACUCGUAAAACUCCUCUAGAGGAUGGAAGGGAACGCUCUUGUCAUAUGAACCUCCUAGCCCCCACCAAUAAGUUCAAAGAAUUUCUGUAUUCAUGUUCAGAGGGUGAAUUCUUAUGUGAGAGCCACCUCUGAACCCUGCAGUCAAUAAACCUAUUUCCUGAAAAAUUC